RNAcentral lists this ribosomal RNA (466 nucleotides) under uncultured bacterium. RNAcentral's name for it is "bacterial SSU rRNA". It matches the Rfam family "Bacterial small subunit ribosomal RNA", at positions 329 to 792 of the family's 1533-position model. The record is from RNAcentral.
UGCCAGACUCCUACGGGAGGCAGCAGUGAGGAAUAUUGGUCAAUGGGCGGGAGCCUGAACCAGCCAAGUCGCGUGAGGGAUGACGGCCCUAUGGGUUGUAAACCUCUUUUGCCGGGGAGCAAGGCCGCCGACGUGUCGGCGGAAGGAGAGUACCCGUAGAACAAGCAUCGGCUAACUCCGUGCCAGCAGCCGCGGUAAUACGGAGGAUGCGAGCGUUAUCCGGAUUUAUUGGGUUUAAAGGGUGCGUAGGCGGAAUGCCAAGUCAGCGGUAAAAUCGCGGGGCUCAACCUCGCUCCGCCGUUGAAACUGGCGUUCUUGAGUGGGCGAGAAGUAUGCGGAAUGCGUGGUGUAGCGGUGAAAUGCAUAGAUAUCACGCAGAACUCCGAUUGCGAAGGCAGCAUACCGGCGCCCAACUGACGCUGAAGCACGAAAGCGUGGGUAUCGAACAGGAUUAGAUACCCCUGUA